AUUGAACGCUGGCGGCAUGCCUUACACAUGCAAGUCGAACGGCAGCACGGGAGCAAUCCUGGUGGCGAGUGGCGAACGGGUGAGUAAAGUAUCGGAACGUGCCCAGUCGUGGGGGAUAACGUAGCGAAAGUUACGCUAAUACCGCAUACGAUCUAUGGAUGAAAGCGGGGGAUCGCAAGACCUCGCGCGAUUGGAGCGGCCGAUAUCAGAUUCGGUAGUUGGUGGGGUAAAGGCUCACCAAGCCGACGAUCUUUAGCUGGUCUGAGAGGACGACCAGCCAAACUGGGACUGAGACACGGCCCAGAGUCCUACGAGAGGCAGCAGUGGGGAAUUUUGGACAAUGGGCGAAAGCCUGAUCCAGCCAUGCCGCGUGCAGGAUGAAGGCCUUCGGGUUGUAAACUGCUUUUGUACGGAACGAAAAGGUUUGGCCUAAUAAGCUGAGCUCAUGACGGUACCGUAAGAAUAAGCACCGGCUAACUUCGUGCCAGCCGCCGCGGUAA
This 500-nucleotide ribosomal RNA is filed under the name uncultured bacterium. RNAcentral describes it as "partial 16S ribosomal RNA". It matches the Rfam family "Bacterial small subunit ribosomal RNA", at positions 30 to 523 of the family's 1533-position model. The record is from RNAcentral.